This 301-nucleotide ribosomal RNA is filed under the name uncultured bacterium. Its description in RNAcentral is "partial 16S ribosomal RNA". It matches the Rfam family "Bacterial small subunit ribosomal RNA", at positions 509 to 807 of the family's 1533-position model. The record is from RNAcentral.
CAGCAGCCACGGUAAUACAGAGGGUGCGAGCGUUAAUCGGAUUUACUGGGCGUAAAGCGUGCGUAGGCGGCUUCUUAAGUCGGAUGUGAAAUCCCUGAGCUUAACUUAGGAAUUGCAUUCUAUACUGGGAAGCUAGAGUAUGUGAGAGGAUGGUAGAAUUCCAGGUGUAGCGGUGAAAUGCGUAGAGAUCUGGAGGAAUACCGAUGGCGAAGGCAGCCAUCUGGCCUAAUACUGACGCUGAGGUACGAAAGCAUGGGGAGCAAACAGGAUUAGAUACCCCUGUAGUCCCUGUCUCUUAUAC